RNAcentral lists this ribosomal RNA (268 nucleotides) under uncultured Pseudomonas sp. RNAcentral describes it as "partial 16S ribosomal RNA". It matches the Rfam family "Bacterial small subunit ribosomal RNA", at positions 1120 to 1382 of the family's 1533-position model. Lineage: Bacteria; Pseudomonadati; Pseudomonadota; Gammaproteobacteria; Pseudomonadales; Pseudomonadaceae. The record is from RNAcentral.
AGCACGUUAUGGUGGGCGACUCUAAGGAAGGACUGCCGGUGGACAAACCGGAGGAAGGUGGGGAGUGACGUCAAGUCAUCAUGGCCCUUACGGCCUGGGCUACACACGUGCUACAAUGGUCGGUACAAAGGGUUGCCAAGCCGCGAGGUGGAGCUAAUCCCAUAAAACCGAUCGUAGUCCGGAUCGCAGUCUGCAACUCGACUGCGUGAAGUCGGAAUCGCUAGUAAUCGUGGAUCAGCAUGCCACGGUGAAUACGUUCCCGGGCCUU